GCAAAACCACCAGUGUUGAUUUUACAGAGUUCGCUACUCUAGAGUGGUCAGGUGUUAGUUGUAGUGUUCGUUUAUAAUGUAUCAUCACUCACAGUGUCAGAAACUUCCACAAGGGGGUGUUGCUUUCCAGUGUUCCAAUAAUUACGUUUGCGGGGAGUUAAGAUUCACGCCACGCCCCUUCUUUCUGAAGCGGGAAAGUCAGUUACUCAGCAUCGACCGACCUGGACUCACGUUACUGAGGUAAGUCAAAUAAGUUAAAUAUGAUGGUGAUAAAUGUAUAAUAAACUGCAAAUAAUCCGUGUAGGUUUGUUAAAUCGUUAAUAUUUUGGUGAGUGACCGCAAGGAAAUCUUUAAAAUUGAACUGAAUUUCAAUUUGUAAUUGGCUGACGUUGUUUAAUCGGUUUAACGUUAACGUUACCUCAUGACGGUGCAGUUUUGUUUAAACAAUGCAAUGAGUUUAAUUUUUGAGUGAUUUUGGACAAAUAUGUAACGUUAACCAAUUAUUAUUAAGAGACUAACGUUAUUAAAUGUGCUUUCUUAAUUUUGUAUUGAGGUAACUUACACUACAAUUUGUCUAACAUUACAUAAUUAAUAAAUUCUAUAAUUCUGUAUGUGCUCGACGUAUUUGCAAAACAACGCAAAAAUAGCUAAUUUUGUAUUUACGGGUACAUUUAAACAGUUAAGUUAGUGCAGUUCUUUUACGUUCAGGGUGGCGGUUUCAGAUUAUGGUGUGCGUCAAGCACUGUGGGCAGAGAAACAUGAUGCAAUGCAGGUGUUUGUGGUAUUCAACCUUUAUCACUAACUCCUUAAUUGUACAUUUGUCACAAUAUCUUCAUUUUAGAGACUGUUAAUAAAUUAGACUUUGGGGGUUAUUUUCGCUGUUUAAAUGUAAUUAAAUUGUGAAUGUUAGUUAUUUCUGCUUGUUACACGCGGUGUGGUAAAUGGCUGUUUCAUUCACUUCGUGAGAGAAAAUGAUUUGCUUGUUUUUCCGCCUAAUGUAACUUGUCUUAAAAUGUAGCAUUUUAAAUGUGUGCUGCUUCUUUCAGAGUUCACACACGGGUAUGUCUGCAUUUUGAAGGGAGUAGGGCAUAGGGAUGGUGACUAACGAUUGGAAUUCGCCCUAAUAGUGACGGAUAGCUGGAAUUGGAUUUGAUUGGUUGAACCGCGUUCAAAGCUGUUCACGCGCGUCUGACCUACGUAUGACGACGCAUGACCACGCGCGAUUUGAAUGCACACCUUUACAGAAGGUUUGGAACAUGCUGCUGAAGUUGGUUACCAGGGCUCCAGGAAAUGUAUCAAACUGCAGGAUUGAUUUAUUUUUGCUCAUUAGUGAAGGUGAUUUUUUUUCACUGUUCAUUUAUUUGUUGCUUCCUUACAUAUAUAAAUUUGUGUUUUGUCAUAGGUGGUAAGCCAAACUGACUGUGGACUAACGUAUGCAUUGUUGAUGACACUGAAAUCGAGGAAGACAUUUUGCAAGAUGUGCUGCUUACAGCUAGAGGACAAAAUGAAGAUGCAACAAGCAGCUUCUGCCACUGUCAUUUACCAUCUGAACUUGACCAAAGUCGUUCCAAGAAAUCUAAGACAACAGAUGACUCCAUGACCGAGGAAGACUCCUACAAGGAACCAGUGAGAGCAUCAUAGACUGUGAUAGUGACAUGGCAACACUGCUUUUACUGCUCCAUCUCCUUCCACCAUCACCUCAAGGGAAUCAGUGCAUCAGAUUUGCAGUGAGCAGGCUUGUGGUGUAUCAUAAGUCUUGUACCAGCCUUGAAGAACAUCUUCAGCAACGAGUAGGAUGACAACUGUACCUUACUGCUGUUGGCAGGAUCUGCGGCCAGAUUUGAGAACUUUGACGUGGCUUUUGAUAAGAAUCUCACCCCGUCAGUUGGAAGGCUCCCUUUUAGCAUUUGACUUUGUUUUUAAUGUAAUGUAUGAUGAUGGACUCCUUCACUUUCAAAUUUAAUCAAACAACAGUUUACAUGUUGGGAAAACUAGAGAUUGAGAGCUGAGAGCAAACUUUUUUUUAACUAGCUGGUAACUAGUAUGUAGUAUCUCAUUUAAGGUUUCAGCAUGCAUUUUAUCCUUGCCCAAAUUUCAAUUAAUAUGUGCUGAAGAAAAUUGUGAUUACUUUUGUGAUGUAUUGUUUUACAGAAUGUUUAGUGAAAGAUUUGCUGUGAUUUGCCCUAGAUGUGUGUCAGACAUGGAUUUUAACACUUAUUCAGUUUUAUUUAAACUCCUUGGCAAAAUUGAAAGGACUGUAUACAUAACCACUUUCUGAAAAUGUUGAAAAAGUUCACAAGUGAUACUUUAUUUUUUUUUUAUAAAUAUUUAAUAAUGUCAAAUAAAUUUGUUAAAUAAAUUU
This is a non-coding RNA of Misgurnus anguillicaudatus (oriental weatherfish), 2362 nucleotides long. The record is from RefSeq and is a predicted model, not a curated record. Lineage: Eukaryota; Metazoa; Chordata; Actinopteri; Cypriniformes; Cobitidae.